UGGGGAAUAUUGCACAAUGGGCGCAAGCCUGAUGCAGCCAUGCCGCGUGUGUGAAGAAGGCCUUCGGGUUGUAAAGCACUUUCAGCGAGGAGGAAGGUGGUGAGCUUAAUACGCUCAUCAAUUGACGUUACUCGCAGAAGAAGCACCGGCUAACUCCGUGCCAGCAGCCGCGGUAAUACGGAGGGUGCAAGCGUUAAUCGGAAUUACUGGGCGUAAAGCGCACGCAGGCGGUUUGUUAAGUCAGAUGUGAAAUCCCCGGGCUCAACCUGGGAACUGCAUUUGAAACUGGCAGGCUAGAGUCUCGUAGAGGGGGGUAGAAUUCCAGGUGUAGCGGUGAAAUGCGUAGAGAUCUGGAGGAAUACCGGUGGCGAAGGCGGCCCCCUGGACGAAGACUGACGCUCAGGUGCGAAAGCGUGGGGAGCAAAACAGGAUUAGAUACCCUGGUAGUCCACGCUGUAAACGAUGUCGAUUUUGGAGGUUGUGCCCUUGAGGCGUGGCUUCCGGAGCUAACGCGUUAAAUCGACCGCCU
This 529-nucleotide ribosomal RNA is filed under the name uncultured bacterium. RNAcentral's name for it is "partial 16S ribosomal RNA". It matches the Rfam family "Bacterial small subunit ribosomal RNA", at positions 355 to 874 of the family's 1533-position model. The record is from RNAcentral.